RNAcentral lists this unclassified non-coding RNA (229 nucleotides) under plant metagenome. RNAcentral describes it as "partial contains small subunit ribosomal RNA and internal transcribed spacer 1". The stretch from base 1 to 46 matches the Rfam family "Eukaryotic small subunit ribosomal RNA", at positions 1786 to 1831 of the family's 1831-position model. The record is from RNAcentral.
AAAUCGUAACAAGGUUUCCGUAGGUGAACCUGCGGAAGGAUCAUUAAAGAGUAAGGGUCUAACCGGCCCGACCUCCAACCCUUUGUCGUUUAAAAAACACCUUGUUGCUUUGGCGGGACCGCCUACCUUCGGGUCGGCUGCCGGUCUUCGGCCCGGCAAGCGCCCGCCAGAGUCAAACCAAACUCUUGUUUUAACCAGUCGUCUGAGUAAAAAUUUUAAUAAAUUAAAA